This 235-nucleotide unclassified non-coding RNA is filed under the name Hevea brasiliensis (rubber tree). Lineage: Eukaryota; Viridiplantae; Streptophyta; Magnoliopsida; Malpighiales; Euphorbiaceae. The record is from RNAcentral.
GUCAACCUUUGCCACUUUCUUUGCCCUCCACUCCUUUUCCUGUUCUUCAUAAUGGUCCAGCUCAAUAUCGUGCAGCUCGUGCUCAACAUGGACGGGAAUUUGGAAAGUGGUUCUUUUAGGUAACGGUGGAGUUACAGAGGGACUCUGGGCAUUUUGAGCGGUUUGAUAAUUCUGUGGGUAAGUCUGAGGAUUGGUAUUAUGAUUUAAGUGGUGGUGAGGUGUUUGAGGAUUGAAA